GAGAAGGUGGCCGAGUGGUCUAAGGCGUGAGAUUAAGGCUCUCAUCCGAAAGGGCGUGGGUUCGAAUCCCAUCCUUCUCA
Molecule: transfer RNA, 80 nt
Organism: Galdieria sulphuraria
Lineage: Eukaryota; Rhodophyta; Bangiophyceae; Galdieriales; Galdieriaceae
Rfam family: tRNA
About the family: Transfer RNA (tRNA) molecules are approximately 80 nucleotides in length. Their secondary structure includes four short double-helical elements and three loops (D, anti-codon, and T loops). Further hydrogen bonds mediate the characteristic L-shaped molecular structure. tRNAs have two regions of fundamental functional importance: the anti-codon, which is responsible for specific mRNA codon recognition, and the 3' end, to which the tRNAs corresponding amino acid is attached (by aminoacyl-tRNA synthetases). tRNAs cope with the degeneracy of the genetic code in two manners: having more than one tRNA (with a specific anti-codon) for a particular amino acid; and 'wobble' base-pairing, i.e. permitting non-standard base-pairing at the 3rd anti-codon position.
Source: Rfam